AGAGUUUGAUCCUGGCUCAGGACGAACGCUGGCGGCGUGCUUAACACAUGCAAGUCGAGCGGGGAUUGAUGGAGUGCUUGCACGAAAUCAAUUCUAGCGGCGGACGGGUGAGUAACGCGUGAGCAAUCUGUCCUACACAGGGGGAUAACACUUGGAAACAGGUGCUAAUACCGCAUAAGACCACGGUAUCGCAUGGUACUGAGGUAAAAGAUUUAUCGGUGUAGGGUGAGCUCGCGUCCCAUUAGCUAGUUGGUGAGGUAACGGCCCACCAAGGCGACGAUGGGUAGCCGACCUGAGAGGGUGAUCGGCCACAUUGGAACUGAGACACGGUCCAGACUCCUACGGGAGGCAGCAGUGGGGAAUAUUGGGCAAUGGGCGCAAGCCUGACCCAGCAACGCCGCGUGAAGGAAGAAGGUUUUCGGAUUGUAAACUUUCUGUCCUUGGUGACGAACACAAUGACGGUAGCCAAGGAGGAAGCCCCCGGCUAACUACGUGCCAGCAGCCGCGGU
RNAcentral lists this ribosomal RNA (509 nucleotides) under uncultured bacterium. RNAcentral describes it as "bacterial SSU rRNA". It matches the Rfam family "Bacterial small subunit ribosomal RNA", at positions 8 to 521 of the family's 1533-position model. The record is from RNAcentral.